ACACUUACCCUGCAGGGGAGAUCAGCAAGGUGGUUUUCCCAGGGCAAGGCUUAUCCUCUGCACUCCAGAUAUGCUGACCCCUGCUAUUUCCCCAAAUGUGGGAAAUAUGGCUGAUAAUGUGUGAUAGUGGGGAACUGCCUUCACAGGCUCCCCUGA
Non-coding RNA from Otolemur garnettii (small-eared galago), 156 nucleotides. NCBI's taxonomy places the organism in Eukaryota, Metazoa, Chordata, Mammalia, Primates, Galagidae. The record is from Rfam.